UAAGCCUAAAAAAUAAUAAAUAAUCGAUAGUGAAUAAGUACUGUAAAGGAAAGGUGAAAGAGAAUUUACGAAAUUGAAAUAGAUAUUGAAAUCUAAUGCUUUUAUCAAUUGGAGCUUUUUUAAAAGUGACAAUGUACCUUUUGUAUAAUGGACCAGUAAGUUUAUUUAUAUAGCAAGUUUAAGUUGUGAAACGUAGACUUAGUGAAAGCGUAUUUGAAAUGAAUUAUUUGAGUUAUAUAAAUAAGACCCGAAACCGAGUGAUCUAAUUAUGAACAAGUUGAAAAAAUAUUAAUUUAUUUUUGAGGACUGAACUCGUACCUGUUGCAUAAGGUUGAGAUGAUUUGUGAUUAGGGGUGAAAGGCUAAUCAAACUCGGAGAUAGCUGGUUUUCUGUGAAAUCUAUUUACGUAAAGUGUUAAAAUUAUUAUUCUGGGGUAGAGAUAUCGAUAAAAGAGGGUUGCCCAUAAAGCUUUACCAAUUUUAAUGAAACUUCGAAUACAGAAUUAAUAUUUUAAUAAUCGGACUUACAAUGCUAAGGUUAUAAGUCAAGAGGGAAACAGCCCAGAUUGUUUAUUAAGGUCUUUAAAUUAUUUUUAAUUUCUCAUAAGAAAUGGGUUUUAAAAUAUAGAUAACUAAGAGUUAGGUUCGGAAGCAGCCAUUCUUUAAAGAAAGCGUAAAAGCUCAUUGGUUUAAUUUUAAAAUCCAAACGAUGUAUAGAGAUUGUAAGAAAUAUACCGAAAUAGCAAAUUUAAAUUUUAAUGUUUAAAUGGUAACAGAACGUUCUGUAUGCUUUAAGAUAAAUUGAAAAAUUUAUUAAUGUAUCAGAAGUGAUAAUACUGGUAUAAGUAAUAUAAAUAAUAUAAAAUAGGUAAUUAAAUAUUAUCGUCGAAAGUUUAAGGUUUUUAAUAUAUAGUUGUUAAACAAAAUUAAGUAAUACGGCCUCUAAGAAAAAAGUGAAAACUUUAUUUGAUGAGAUUUAUUUAAAAGGACUUUUUUUAUAAAUAAAAAUACUAUUUAUAAAAAAAUUCAAAAAACUUUUAAAAGAAACCGUACUAAAAACCAACACAGGUAAAUGGGUAGAGUAUACUAAGACGAUAAAGAGAAUCAUAGUGAAGGAACUCUGCAAAUUGACUUUGUAACUUCGGGAUAAAAAGUUUUUAUUAAUGUAUUUUUUAAUUAAUAAAAGUAAUAUGAAAGGGGGUAGCGACUGUUUAAUAAAAACACAGGACUUUGCUAAAUCGUAAGAUGAUGUAUAAGGUCUGACACCUGCCAAGAACUGUAUUGCAAAAGUUAAAAAGUAUUUUUUUUAGUAUAAACAACAGUAAUCGGCGGCCAUAACUCUGAUGGUCCUAAGGUAGCGAAAUUCCUUGUCAACUAAUUAUUGACGUGCAUGAAUGGUGUAACGACUUCCCCACUGUCUCCACUAUGAGCUUUAUGAAAUUGAAAUAUUCGUGAAGAUGCGAAUUAUAUAUGGUAAGACGGUAAGACCCCGUGCACCUUUACUACAAUCUUUUAUUGAUUAUUUUUAUAAAAUUGUGUAGAAUAAGUGGGAGUUUAAAUUUAUUUUUAAACAUUAGUGAAAUACCACUCGUUUUAUUAUUAAUAGCUAAUUUUGUUUUUGAAAAUAAAAGACAUAUAAAAGAAUGGUAGUUUAACUGGGGUGGUUUUCUCCUAAAAAGUAACGGAGAAAUAUAAAGGUAAAUUAAUAAUUAUUGUUGUGAUAAUUAUUUAUGUAUAAUGGCUUAAAUUUGCUUGACUGUAAGAUUGACAAAUCAAACAGAAACGAAAGUUGAUCAUAUUGACCCGGUAAUUCUUUGUGGAAAGGUUAUCGAUCAUUGGAUAAAAGGUACGCCGGGGGUAACAGGCUGAUAAUUCUCUAGAGUUCAUAUCGACGGAAUUGUUUGGCACCUCGAUGUCGGCUCAUCACAUCCUAGGGCUGAAGAAGGUUCUAAGGGUUUGGCUGUUCGCCAAUUAAAGUGGUACGU
RNAcentral lists this ribosomal RNA (1984 nucleotides) under human gut metagenome. RNAcentral's name for it is "bacterial LSU rRNA". It matches the Rfam family "Bacterial large subunit ribosomal RNA", at positions 461 to 2601 of the family's 2925-position model. The record is from RNAcentral.